Molecule: non-coding RNA, 133 nt
Organism: Triticum aestivum (bread wheat)
Lineage: Eukaryota; Viridiplantae; Streptophyta; Magnoliopsida; Poales; Poaceae
Source: Rfam
UUUCUACUCCCUCCGUCCCAAAAUUCUUGUCUUAGAUUCGUCUAGAUACGAAUGUAUCUAAUACUAAAAUAUGACUUGAUACAUUUGUAUUUAGAUAAAUAUAAGAAAAAAAUUGGGACGGAGGGAGUAUUUU